This 253-nucleotide ribosomal RNA is filed under the name uncultured bacterium. RNAcentral describes it as "partial 16S ribosomal RNA". It matches the Rfam family "Bacterial small subunit ribosomal RNA", at positions 524 to 776 of the family's 1533-position model. The record is from RNAcentral.
UACGUAGGGUCCGAGCGUUGUCCGGAAUUAUUGGGCGUAAAGGGCUCGUAGGCGGUUUGUUGCGUCGGGAGUGAAAACUUACAGCUUAACUGUGAGCGUGCUUCCGAUACGGGCAGACUUGAGGUAUUCAGGGGAGAACGGAAUUCCUGGUGUAGCGGUGAAAUGCGCAGAUAUCAGGAGGAACACCGGUGGCGAAGGCGGUUCUCUGGGCAUUACCUGACGCUGAGGAGCGAAAGUGUGGGGAGCGAACAGG